AUUGAACGCUGGCGGCAGGCCUAACACAUGCAAGUCGAGCGGAUGAAGGGAGCUUGCUCCUGGAUUCGGCGGCGGACGGGUGAGUAAUGCCUAGGAAUCUGCCUGGUAGUGGGGGAUAACGUCCGGAAACGGGCGCUAAUACCGCAUACGUCCUGAGGGAGAAAGUGGGGGAUCUUCGGACCUCCCGCUAUCAGAUGAGCCUAGGUCGGAUUAGCUAGUUGGCGGGGUAAAGGCCUACCAAGGCGACGAUCCGUAACUGGUCUGAGAGGAUGAUCAGUCACACUGGAACUGAGACACGGUCCAGACUCCUACGGGAGGCAGCAGUGGGGAAUAUUGGACAAUGGGCGAAAGCCUGAUCCAGCCAUGCCGCGUGUGUGAAGAAGGUCUUCGGAUUGUAAAGCACUUUAAGUUGGGAGGAAGGGCAGUAAGUUAAUACCUUGCUGUUUUGACGUUACCAACAGAAUAAGCACCGGCUAACUUCGUG
RNAcentral lists this ribosomal RNA (484 nucleotides) under uncultured bacterium. RNAcentral's name for it is "partial 16S ribosomal RNA". It matches the Rfam family "Bacterial small subunit ribosomal RNA", at positions 30 to 507 of the family's 1533-position model. The record is from RNAcentral.